This 310-nucleotide long non-coding RNA is filed under the name Ricinus communis (castor bean). RNAcentral's name for it is "long non-coding RNA (RCOM_LNC003341)". The record is from RNAcentral. Lineage: Eukaryota; Viridiplantae; Streptophyta; Magnoliopsida; Malpighiales; Euphorbiaceae.
CAUAUUGACUUUCUCUCGCCCUACUUCUAAGGAUAGAUAGAAAAGGUUGGAGAGAGUAACUUUCUGAAAUUCUCUCCUUUCUAAAGCUGCGCAAGGCGGCCCCCCCAGAACAAAACCCCACCCUUUCCCCCUUUUUAAUGAAAGACCCUCGCCCCGCUUCCUAUUCAUUUGUGGGUCGGGACCGAGGGCCUUUUUUUUUUCUCAACAGGUGAUUUCAAGAAUCAACCAACCGACAAAUCCGUAGCCCAGGUGACUCACAGCCUCCCUCUCGCCUAAAUGAAGUGGGAUGAAUCCAAUCAAUAAGCUUUUU